CACGGAGUUAGCCGGGGCUUCUUCUGCUGGUACCGUCAUUAUCUUUCCAGCUGAAAGAGCUUUACAACCCUAAGGCCUUCAUCACUCACGCGGCAUGGCUAGAUCAGGGUUGCCCCCAUUGUCUAAGAUUCCCCACUGCUGCCUCCCGUAGGAGUCUGGGCCGUGUCUCAGUCCCAGUGUGGCUGAUCAUCCUCUCAAACCAGCUAUGGAUCGUCGGCUUGGUAGGCCAUUACCCCACCAACUACCUAAUCCAACGCGGGCUAAUCCUUCGCCGAUAAAUCUUUCCCCCCGAAAGGGCGUAUGCGGUAUUACUCUCAGUUUCCCGAGGCUAUUCCGCAGCAAAGGGCAUAUUCCCACGCGUUACUCACCCGUCCGCCGCUCACCCCCGAAAGGCGCGCUCGACUGCAUGUGUUAGGCCUGCCGCCAGCGUUCGUUCUGAGCCAGGAUCAAACUCU
This 455-nucleotide ribosomal RNA is filed under the name uncultured Paracoccus sp. Its description in RNAcentral is "partial 16S ribosomal RNA". Lineage: Bacteria; Pseudomonadati; Pseudomonadota; Alphaproteobacteria; Rhodobacterales; Paracoccaceae. The record is from RNAcentral.